RNAcentral lists this ribosomal RNA (497 nucleotides) under uncultured bacterium. RNAcentral describes it as "partial 16S ribosomal RNA". It matches the Rfam family "Bacterial small subunit ribosomal RNA", at positions 28 to 507 of the family's 1533-position model. The record is from RNAcentral.
GAUGAACGCUGGCGGCGUGCCUAAUACAUGCAAGUCGAGCGAACGGACGAGAAGCUUGCUUCUCUGAUGUUAGCGGCGGACGGGUGAGUAACACGUGGAUAACCUACCUAUAAGACUGGGAUAACUUCGGGAAACCGUAGCUAAUACCGGAUAAUAUUUUGAACCGCAUGGUUCAAAAGUGAAAGACGGUCUUGCUGUCACUUAUAGAUGGAUCCGCGCUGCAUUAGCUAGUUGGUAAGGUAACGGCUUACCAAGGCAACGAUGCAUAGCCGAGCUGAGAGGGUGAUCGGCCACACGGGAACUGAGACACGGUCCAGACUCCUACGGGAGGCAGCAGUAGGGAAUCUUCCGCAAUGGGCGAAAGCCUGACGGAGCAACGCCGCGUGAGUGAUGAAGGUCUUCGGAUCGUAAAACUCUGUUAUUAGGGAAGAACAUAUGUGUAAGUAACUGUGCACAUCUUGACGGUACCUAAUCAGAAAGCCACGGCUAACUACGUG